AGGACGAACGCUGGCGGCGUGCCUAACACAUGCAAGUCGAGCGGGGACAUGCGACGGAUAGGAAGUUUCGGAUGGAAUUGAAGAUGGUAUGUUCUAGCGGCGACGGGUGAGUAACGCGUGAAGCAACCUGUCCUUCGACAGGGGGAUAACACAGCGAAAGUUGUACUAAUACCGCAUAAGACCACAACGGGACAUCCCGCGGGGGUCAAAGGAGCAAUCCGGUGAAGGGUGGGCUCGCGUCCGAUUAGAUAGUUGGUGAGGUAACGGCCCACCAAGUCAACGAUCGGUAGCCGACCUGAGAGGGUGAUCGGCCACAUUGGGACUGAGACACGGCCCAAACUCCUACGGGAGGCAGCAGUGGGGAAUAUUGGGCAAUGGGGGGAACCCUGACCCAGCAACGCCGCGUGAGGGAAGAAGGUUUUCGGAUCGUAAACCUCUGUCCUUGGUGAAGAGGAAGAGACGGUAGCCAAGGAGGAAGCCCCGGCUAACUACGUGCCAGCAGCUGC
RNAcentral lists this ribosomal RNA (506 nucleotides) under uncultured bacterium. Its description in RNAcentral is "bacterial SSU rRNA". It matches the Rfam family "Bacterial small subunit ribosomal RNA", at positions 26 to 518 of the family's 1533-position model. The record is from RNAcentral.